Molecule: ribosomal RNA, 1527 nt
Filed under: Pectobacterium carotovorum
Lineage: Bacteria; Pseudomonadati; Pseudomonadota; Gammaproteobacteria; Enterobacterales; Pectobacteriaceae
Description: bacterial SSU rRNA
Rfam family: Bacterial small subunit ribosomal RNA
Source: RNAcentral
AGAGUUUGAUCCUGGCUCAGUGACGCUGGCGGCAGGCCUAACACAUGCAGUCGAGCGGUAGCACAGAGGAGCUUGCUCCUUGGGUGACGAGCGGCGGACGGGUGAGUAAUGUCUGGGAAACUGCCUGAUGGAGGGGGAUAACUACUGGAAACGGUAGCUAAUACCGCAUAACCUCUUCGAGCAAAGAGGGGGACCUUCGGGCCUCUCGCCAUCAGAUGUGCCCAGAUGGGAUUAGCUAGUAGGUGAGGUAAUGGCUCACCUAGGCGACGAUCCCUAGCUGGUCUGAGAGGAUGACCAGCCACACUGGAACUGAGACACGGUCCAGACUCCUACGGGAGGCAGCAGUGGGGAAUAUUGCACAAUGGGCGCAAGCCUGAUGCAGCCAUGCCGCGUGUGUGAAGAAGGCCUUCGGGUUGUAAAGCACUUUCAGCGAGGAGGAAGGCGGUAAGGUUAAUAACCUUAUCGAUUGACGUUACUCGCAGAAGAAGCACCGGCUAACUCCGUGCCAGCAGCCGCGGUAAUACGGAGGGUGCAAGCGUUAAUCGGAAUGACUGGGCGUAAAGCGCACGCAGGCGGUCUGUUAAGUUGGAUGUGAAAUCCCCGGGCUUAACCUGGGAACUGCAUUCAAAACUGACAGGCUAGAGUCUUGUAGAGGGGGGUAGAAUUCCAGGUGUAGCGGUGAAAUGCGUAGAGAUCUGGAGGAAUACCGGUGGCGAAGGCGGCCCCCUGGACAAAGACUGACGCUCAGGUGCGAAAGCGUGGGGAGCAAACAGGAUUAGAUACCCUGGUAGUCCACGCUGUAAACGAUGUCGAUUUGGAGGUUGUGCCCUUGAGGCGUGGCUUCCGGAGCUAACGCGUUAAAUCGACCGCCUGGGGAGUACGGCCGCAAGGUUAAAACUCAAAUGAAUUGACGGGGGCCCGCACAAGCGGUGGAGCAUGUGGUUUAAUUCGAUGCAACGCGAAGAACCUUACCUACUCUUGACAUCCACAGAAUUUGCUAGAGAUACCUUAGUGCCUUCGGGAACUGUGAGACAGGUGCUGCAUGGCUGUCGUCAGCUCGUGUUGUGAAAUGUUGGGUUAAGUCCCGCAACGAGCGCAACCCUUAUCCUUUGUUGCCAGCGAUUCGGUCGGGAACUCAAAGGAGACUGCCGGUGAUAAACCGGAGGAAGGUGGGGAUGACGUCAAGUCAUCAUGGCCCUUACGAGUAGGGCUACACACGUGCUACAAUGGCGUAUACAAAGAGAAGCGACCUCGCGAGAGCAAGCGGACCUCAUAAAGUACGUCGUAGUCCGGAUUGGAGUCUGCAACUCGACUCCAUGAAGUCGGAAUCGCUAGUAAUCGUAGAUCAGAAUGCUACGGUGAAUACGUUCCCGGGCCUUGUACACACCGCCCGUCACACCAUGGGAGUGGGUUGCAAAAGAAGUAGGUAGCUUAACCUUCGGGAGGGCGCUUACCACUUUGUGAUUCAUGACUGGGGUGAAGUCGUAACAAGGUAACCGUAGGAACCUGCGGCUGGAUCACCUCCUU